AGAACGAACGCUGGCGGCGUGGAUAAGACAUGCAAGUCGAACGCGAUUUAUCAGGUUAGCAAUAACUUGGUAGAUUGAGUGGCGAAAGGGUGCGUAACACGUGGGAAUUUACCAAGAAGUGGGGAAUAGCUCGACGAAAGUCGAAUUAAUACCGCAUGUGAUCGAAAGAUCAAAGUCGGGGACCGUAAGGCCUGACGCUUUUUGAGAAGCCCGCGGCCCAUCAGCUAGUUGGUGAGGUAAUGGCUCACCAAGGCUAUGACGGGUAGCUGGUCUGAGAGGACGACCAGCCACACUGGAACUGAGACACGGUCCAGACACCUACGGGUGGCAGCAGUCGAGAAUUUUUCACAAUGGACGAAAGUCUGAUGGAGCGACGCCGCGUGGAGGAUGAAGGUUCUUGGAUUGUAAACUCCUGUCACUGCAGAACAAGGGUGCGCACGUUAAUAGCGAGCGCAUUUG
RNAcentral lists this ribosomal RNA (459 nucleotides) under uncultured bacterium. RNAcentral describes it as "SSU rRNA". It matches the Rfam family "Bacterial small subunit ribosomal RNA", at positions 26 to 479 of the family's 1533-position model. The record is from RNAcentral.